ACACCUGCCCCCCUCAAGGCAGUCUUCUGUCUGCACACACAGCCCUGUACACAGGCACCCAGGUAUAAACAGAUGCUGGGGAGGAGCAGUGAGGUCACAUAAAGAUCUGGGAGCACUAGGGAUACCUCCUGCUCCUCUCAUUUCCCGCCUCUCUGAGGACUCUUCCUUGGUGCUCCCUUCUACCAAUAGAGAAGCACUUUCUGGGGUUACAGUUUUGGGGGUCAGAGUGCACCCCUCAUCUUCUUCCUCUCCUUCCUUCCCUACCCAGCUGCUCUACUCGCAAAGCCACCUGUCACCCCAGAGACAGAGGCCGGAAACUCCUGGUUGCUAGGCAACCCUGUCUCCCUGGCCACCCCCUCCUGUUGCCAUGGCUGCCAUGACUGAGAGGGUAACAGCAGAGGGGAGCGCACAAAGGUUAGGCUGUGAAAGGACAUUCCUAGAGCAGGGAAUAACCCUCGAUAUCCGGCCAUCCCCCCACCACCACCACCCAGCUUCCUCUAGAACCCAGCCCAACCCUCAUGGCGUAGAUGAAAGCCUGGAGCCCAGAGAGACUUUGGCUGACUGGGGAGCCCAAGGAAGCCCUGAAGAAGGUUUGAAGGAUGCCUCUUUGCCAGUCCUCAGAUGGUGUGGAGAAGGCCCUACCCACUUCCCCUAGGCUAAGUCCAAGUCUUACCUGAGCUGGGGGCGUCCAAGGAGCCAUAGAAGAAUUCCCAUUUGGCUCGAGCGAUUCUCUGAGCAUGAGAGGAGACUUCCCGGGUGGAGGACCAGGUGUCCCCCUGAGCCAAAGAGGAAGUGAAAGGCACAGGACCCCAAAAUGAAAGCCAGACAUACAAGGACACAGAAUAUGGAGCAGCAGAAAGAAGACCACAUGGGACAGGAUGAAGGUGCGGGAACACAGCGACAGAGGGCGAGAAAGCUGAUUUAGGACAUUAAAGGAUUUGGGUGAAUAUGA
This is a long non-coding RNA of Peromyscus leucopus (white-footed mouse), 952 nucleotides long. RefSeq lists it as uncharacterized. Lineage: Eukaryota; Metazoa; Chordata; Mammalia; Rodentia; Cricetidae. The transcript is spliced from 2 exons. The record is from RefSeq and is a predicted model, not a curated record.